UACGUAGGGUGCGAGCGUUGUCCGGAAUUAUUGGGCGUAAAGAGCUUGUAGGCGGUCUGUCGCGUCUGCUGUGAAAAUCCGGGGCUCAACCUCGGGUCUGCAGUCGAUACGAGCAAACUAGAGUGUUGCAGGGGAGACUGGAAUUCCUGGUGUAGCGGUGAAAUGCGCAGAUAUCAGGAGGAACACCGGUGGCGAAGGCGGGUCUCUGGGCAACAACUGACGCUGAGGAGCGAAAGCGUGGGGAGCGAACAGG
This 253-nucleotide ribosomal RNA is filed under the name uncultured bacterium. RNAcentral describes it as "partial 16S ribosomal RNA". It matches the Rfam family "Bacterial small subunit ribosomal RNA", at positions 524 to 776 of the family's 1533-position model. The record is from RNAcentral.